UUUCUGUAGGUGAACCUGCGGAAGGAUCAUUAUUGAAACUUGAAUCGUAGCAUUGAGAACUGUUGCUGACCUGUUAAAGGGUACGUGCACGUUCGACGUGUUGCGUUCUAUUCAUCCACCUGUGCACCUUUGUAGACUUGAUUAACUUUCGCUCUCGAGCGGUUAGAAGGGUUGCUUUCGAGCUCCCUUUGUCUAUCAAGUCUAUGUCUAUAUAAUCUCUUGUAUGUCUAGAAUGUCUUGUUUAUGGGACGCAAGUCCUUUAAAUCUUAUACAACUUUCAACAACGGAUCUCUUGGCUCUC
Molecule: unclassified non-coding RNA, 301 nt
Filed under: plant metagenome
Description: partial contains small subunit ribosomal RNA, internal transcribed spacer 1, and 5.8S ribosomal RNA
Source: RNAcentral